UCGAUGUCUUUCUCUCCCGCAGAGCUGGCCUUCCCGCCUACCACAAACGUGUUCUACGCCAUGAACAGCUCCUGCCAGGACUUCAUGCUCCGGGCCAAGCAGGGGAAGCCAGCCCCAGUGGCCCCGCCGCCCCCGCCUAGGACCCCCACGCCUAAGGGGGUGGAAAUCAGCGCCACUUUCCCAAAGAUCAAAGCCACCGGGCGCAAGAUUGCCAAAGCCCUCUUCUGAAGCAGAGAAGGCAGCCCCUCGAUGACGGACGAGCCCGGGCACCACCCAGUCGGCGCGGCAAACAGAGACCUAUUUUUAACCUGCUCCCGAGGGGGGGGGAGAGGAAAUGGGUGGGCUGCCUGCCCCUGUUGGGAUUUGCCAACAGCCGCCUUGACUUGGGGCGUCCGCCCUGGCCAAACUGGAAGGUUCCUGCUCUCCGUUCUGGCAGCUGCUUUCGCCCUGGAGACCGACUGGAGUUUCCUGAAGCUUUCAGGAAUGUGACGCAUUUUGCACUUGGUGCCAGGAAGAAUUUUACAUGGCUGUUUUUGGCACCAGCCAGCCAGAGCUGCAUGGAUGACAUCCUCCCCCUACCCCUCCCCACAGCUGCUGACACAACAGCUACUUCUCGCCCCAGAAGGUGCCCCGUUUUGAUGCUUCCUGAGUUGGGUGCCUUUUCUGCGUUCGAGUUGGAUGCCCACCUGACGUGCCUUAAUUGUGACACAGUGGCCAAAAGACAGAACUUUCCCAAGACACACACACCCUUCCUGCCUUAGCUGGAAAUGCCUGCUAUUUUUGCUCCUUCCGGGGCAGGCGCUCUGAUCCUCUGCUCAUCCUUUCUAGUUAUCCAGUAGGGCCUCCGGUAUCCAUAGGGGGUCAGUUCCAAUCCCCCUCCCCGCGGAUGCUGAAAAACGUGGAAGCAUGAAACAGAAUAGAUACUGCAUGGUCUCUGGCACCCUCUAGGGGCCAGUUCAGAGAAAUACGGUAUUUUCAGCCCAGCGGAUAAGUGAAUCAGUGGAUGGGCGGGUCCUGCUGUCCACCUCUAAGCACAGGUGGGCAUCCAUGGAGCCACGCAAAAGGAGAAUGACUGCUUUACGUUCAUACGCCCAAAGAAGGCACCAGAAGAGGCAAGAAGGGGUUUCCUCAGGGAAUCUUAGCUGGAUGCUGAGAUGCGUUAAUUGGCCCCCCCUUCCAACGCUGCUGCUGUUGCCUGCCCCCCCUCUUACGAAGUCUGUGCAGCAGAGCCUGGCUCUGCUUUGCUUCUCAAUACAAUUUAACACUAAUUUCCUUUUUUUAAAAA
Pogona vitticeps (central bearded dragon) is the source of this 1285-nucleotide non-coding RNA. Lineage: Eukaryota; Metazoa; Chordata; Lepidosauria; Squamata; Agamidae. The record is from RefSeq and is a predicted model, not a curated record.